GUGCUCACUUAGGCAGCAUGUAUACUUAAGGAACGAUACAGAGAAGAUUAUCAUGGCACCUACAUUAUAUGCAAAUUUGUGAAGCAUUCCAUAUUUUU
Small nuclear RNA from Dipodomys ordii (Ord's kangaroo rat), 98 nucleotides. The record is from Ensembl. Lineage: Eukaryota; Metazoa; Chordata; Mammalia; Rodentia; Heteromyidae.